This is an RNA transcript of Maniola jurtina (meadow brown), 3069 nucleotides long. It is a transcript of the gene named toll-like receptor 4, with no coding region annotated. The record is from RefSeq and is a predicted model, not a curated record. Lineage: Eukaryota; Metazoa; Arthropoda; Insecta; Lepidoptera; Nymphalidae. The transcript has 4 exons.
CAAACAUUAAGCACAUGGUACAUCACUACAGCCUCAUUAGUCCAGUACGGACACUUCGUGCAAGGGAUCUACACGUCGAUUCUACGCCGAGAUCUCAUAUACAAUUCAGAUAUGGGUGAACCAGUGAAUUGAAGAGUUCGCCAAAACACGAGAAUGGCUCGCCUUACUGCACUAGUCCUCUGCCUUUUCGCAUCCCACUCCUGCUACGGAUUCAACGGAGACAACUUCGAGCUCGAAUGCCCCGAUGAGUGCGACUGCCACUACUUCCGUAUCAACUGGGUGACCGAUUGCUCAGAGAGCAACCUCACCGUAGUACCCUAUGAUGAGCUCAGUCUCAGCGUGUACAUUCUGGAUUUGAAUGGCAACAACAUAACCAGCCUCCAGCCUUUCCCGAGUGAUAUAAAGAUGAGGAGGUUGCAAAUAGCGAACAACAGACUGACGAGGGUGGAGAGAGACGCAUUCCGUGGACUGGAGUACUUGAUUGAUGUAGAUCUGUCCGGCAAUAAUAUAAGCUAUGUCGAUCCGGAGGCCUUCUUGGACUCACGUGGGCUACUAAAUGUAGAACUUCAAGACAAUCCGCUCGAUGUUGUCGAAGGACCGUUCCUCGUGUCCGGCACCCUACAAUUCCUGGAUAUCAGCAACUGCAACAUAUCCACCAUCAACCAACAGUUCUUCGAGAACGUCACAUCAUUGACAACUCUAGACCUGUCAAACAAUCCGCUCAGAGCCCUGGAAAGCGGAGUCUUUGACACUUUGACCAGUCUCGAAACUUUGAAACUUAACGACUGCAAGCUGUCUACACUCGCAGAAAAUCUCUUUUCGGCUCUAGUGAAUCUGAAAAACUUGGAACUCGCCGGAAACUAUUUGAUGAAUACAAACUGGCCCGAAGUAUUAGGCACGCUAACUAGGCUCGAAUAUCUCAAUUUGAGAAAAUCUGGCCUAGUAUCACUUUCUGAGGACACAUUUUCGAAUUGCACAAAUCUUGUUUCGCUCAUUUUAGCCGAAAACGAAUUACGUGACAUGGACGUCGCAGCAACGUUAGGCAACAGCGUUAAUCAUUUGGAAUUACUAGAUUUAUCAAACUGUAAAAUCCAAGGUCCAAUCGCUGGUGAUGCAUUUGCGAAUUCUUCGAGAUUAAAGAGUCUAUACUUGUCAGGGAACCCCUUGUUUGCGCCGGAUUUAGAAGAAGCUUUAGCGCCACUUCCGAAACUAGAAAGGCUGUUCUUGAGUAACUGCGGUCUGCGUAAUUUACCGGAUAGUUUUAAUGUUUUCGAAAACCUUCUCGAAUUAGAUAUUUCUCACAAUCCGUUAGUGAACGUGUUUACAAAAUUGCUUGCUCCUCUCGAAAAAAUAGAAUAUCUCAACAUGGGCUACAGUAAUCUAUCUUACGUAGGACCAGAAACAUUUGCACAUAUGACAUCACUUAAGAGAUUAGUGCUCUCAGGUAACGAUCUUCUAUCCUUGGAAGCUGGUCUCUUUGGAAACCUUACACAACUGACAACUUUGGAAUUAGAAUUCUGUGGUCUAAAGCGACCACUGAAUGCGAAUGCCUUUUUCAAAAAUCUAACAUACACUGACUUAAGAGAAAUUAGACUCGGUGGGAACCCACUCGUGAUUCCUACCGCUGGUCCUUUAUUCCCAAAACAGUUAUCUCAAAUGACUGUGCUGGAUUUAAGCAAUUGCAAUAUUACAUCACUUAAUCCGGACGCAUUUAAGAACACCGAAAAUUUGACCGAAUUGAAUUUGGCUGGCAAUCAACUGAAAUCCGGAGAUGGAAGUUUAGCGUUCUUGGAAAUACUACAACAACUGGAAAAGAUAAAUUUGAGCAACAACAAUUUGACGACAAUAGAUCCGGAGUUCUUUGUCAAUAAUCCGAAGUUGCAUUCGAUUAACUUAAUCGGCAAUCCAUUCGUAUGCGACUGCAAGAUCGCUGAAAUGUGGGACUGGGCGAACAUGAUCAAAGGCGAUUUGGACGUUCUCACCGGAGCCAAGAGUGCUAAGAAAGAUAUCGUAGUGAAAGGAAAUAAGAAGAAAAAGAACCUCUACUGCCGUUACAAUGAAGCUCAACUUCGAAACAUGACUCUGAUAUCCACCAAAACUGUUCCGGGUCGAAGGCCUUUUGUGAAGCCUAGAGAGUUGACAUACGCAAAUAGGACCUGGGCCAAAUAUGUGAGGGAGUCAGGGUGUGAGCCGGUGGUUAAAAUAUUAAGGCCAGUAGCUCUAAUCGCGGAUUUAUUUCACAAAUCGAAUUCCGAUUUUGGGCCCUCAGCGGCAUUCUUGAUGGCUAUCAUAGCCUUAGCUUUCGGUAUAACUACAGUUAUAAUGACAUUCAGGUUGCUCCAAAAGAAACAAUUCAUUUCGGAAAUCAAUACAGAAAGUCACAGGAAGCAGAGGUAAUAAUAAAAGACAAAGUAACUAAGUUGUAAAUUGUAAUACUUGCUAUGAAAACGAUCAAGCGGGAAAAACUUCGAUUGUUUGUUUAAAAGUGUCGGUUUUAAUAUUAAAGUUAAAUAAUUUAUUAUUAUACAAAUAUUUUAGUUACUAUUUUUUGUAAAUUCGAUAAAUGUUAUACUAAGUAGAUCUACAAAGAUUUAGAAAGUAUUCAAUAAACACUGGCGUGAUUUUUUAAUUAUGCCUUAGAUGUGCCUAUGUGAAUAUUGUGGGUAGGUAUUAUUUUUACGCAUUUUCUUUUUUUUUCUUUUUAAUUUAAGUUUUUCUAAAGUUUUGUACACAGAAUCUAAAUGUCUCAGCAAUGCUGCUGAUCUAUUUGAUGUACCUAAAGUAAACAUAAUAUACCUAGUUAAUAUUAAGUUUAAACGUAUUAUUACUGUUGUAAACAUGUCGUGUCAGGUAUAUCUGCAAAAUAUGUCUCUCUAGAAAUUUAGCCCUGUUAAGCUAAAAUAGUGUGUUAAAUGUAGAUAUCUAUGUAUUUUACUAGUCAAGUUAAUAAACAAAAAAAUCAUUAAGUAUCUAAUUAAUUUAUUUUUUAAUAUUUUUGUGAUACACUUCGUGCUAUCCUAAUUUUACCUUACAGUAUUUAAUGAAAUAAUAAAUUUCGUAUUAAAAUUA